This 2174-nucleotide long non-coding RNA is filed under the name Mytilus galloprovincialis (Mediterranean mussel). The record is from RNAcentral. Lineage: Eukaryota; Metazoa; Mollusca; Bivalvia; Mytilida; Mytilidae.
UUUUAUUAAAUUUUAAUGAUUCACUACAAAAAUGUUAAAAAAAACAUGAAAAAGCACCCUAAUAAAUAUUAACUGAAAUUAUUCUUGAACAGAAACACUGAAUUAAAAACCAUAAAACUUAAUAGUAUAUUAAGAAUGGGUGUACUGUGCAAGCAGCACUUUUAUUCCUGGGUGCAAAGUAGAUAUGAAAUGAUCCAUUCAAAUAUUAGGUUCAUUUAUGGAUAUAUGAAUAGGGUAAUUUUAUUCAUUUAAAUGCUAUCUGUUUGAAGGAUUACAGCGUAUAUAUAUAAGACUUAAUAAAAUAUUGAUUUCUGACCGAGUAAUGUAUUGUAAACAUUGGUGGGAAGUUAACUGAGGGUAAGUCUUUAGAAAAUCAGAGACAAUGAUUUGGAAUUAGACAACUAAAGCUUCAAGUGCCAGAUGCAAAUUGCAGGAUAAAAAAACUAUAUAUACACAUUGUUGGAAAUAGUAAAAUGUAGUUGUACUGGCUAUGAAAUAGGAGAAAAGCUAGACGAGUCUUUCUGUCUUGUUUCUAAAGCUUGUACAAAUAAAUCAUAUAUUUUCCGACAAUGUUCAUAUGGUUAUGAAUAAUUGUAAAAUCUACAAAAUUUGAAACCCAGGAAUAAAAAUUCUACAGACAUUGAUGAUACAAUUUGAUUAUCUAAUGAAUGAUAUCAACAUAAAUAGCUGCACUAAAAAAAAACUAAUUGAGAUUCAAAAGUCAGAAAGGAAUAAUAAAAUAUCAAGCAAGAACUAGUGUCCUCAUAAAAACAGUGAACAUCAAAAUUUUGGUCAGACUAUUUUCAUGUUACCGACUUAUGAAUUCAGAGUUCAUAUUAUUUUCUAGUUACCUACUCAAGGACAUCCUGGAACUGGUCAAUUAAGAGCAACAAAAAAAAGUAAAACCAACUUGUCAAUUGGUACAAAUUUGGGAGAAAAUUGACUGUUUUGUGUUUUCUAUGAACAACAAAAAAAUAGAAAAACAGUAAACUUACCGCCAAAAUUGCAAACCAGAUGAUAUUUUUUAUUUUACUUCUUUUUAUUGCUCUUACCCAACUGAGUACCAGGAUGAACUACAACAGAUUAGGUAACCUUAGAAAAAAACGAAAAUCUAUUGUCACCAAUUGGUCAUAUGAAAAUACUGUAGAUUCAGAAAUAAUUGCGUGCAUUUAUAAUUGCGAUUUCGUCAUUUCAGUCGAAAAAGCAAUGUUAAUUUUUACGAUUUUGAGAAAAGUCCUGUAUAAUUCAUAUAAAAAAUUUUAAAAUGGGAGUUUAAAUUAUUGCGUUCAUAAAGUUUCUCACAUUUUUCGCAAUUAUAAAACCUCGCAAUAAUUUCUGAAUUUACAGUAGUCUAUUCUAAAAAGUUCACAAGCAGCCACAAUGAACAUGUGUUUUAUGUUUCAAACUGAUGUUAACUUAACUUCAUGAUAAAUUAUUGAAUGUUAAUCCUGAUACAGGAGAGACAAGGAUAUUGGCUAAAUGAUAAAAUCAGUCUGAUUGGCGGAAAAAGACAAGAAAACAUAAUGGCCUUCUAUCGUAGUUGGGGCAUAAAAAACUAUUUUGAAAACAAAUAUACAUAUAAACCAAAUAAUGUAGAAAGUUCAUGAGAGUGGGUCUCAUUGGGGUCUAAGAGUGACACGGGAUUGCCAAUUUUUGUAAGCGUGACACGUAAAAGUCAAAUUAUUGUGCUGUGAAAACGGGAAACGAAGUCUUAGCGGGACACAGGAAAUUACAAAAAAAUGAGAAUUGCUUACGUACAUAGUGUAAGCAGGAUACGGGAAUCUGACAAAACAGUAAGCGGGAUCCGGGAUCAGAACCCCCCCAAUGAGACCCCCAUGAGACAUUUUUCCAAUCCCAGUGGUUUCUCUUCUUAUACUACAUGUAUUGUUAUUAAUUUAUUUAAAUUAAUCCAUACCCACUAAAACCACCAAAACUGAUAUAACACUAAUCACUUUGAAUCAUUAGGAUCUAACAUUUAGUUUGAAAAAUGUACUUAUGUGUAAUAAAAUGUAUUUUUCUAUUACGUUUAUCCAUAGAUAAUUGUAGGUAUAAAAUACUCUGAGCAACAGAUGGCUUCACAUGUAAUAAUCAGUUUUGUAAUAAGGCGUCUAUUAAAUUUUUAAGUUACACAAAAUAAAAUAAAGCACUUAAUUAUUCACAACAUUAACUCAAAC